GAGAGAGAGCGAUGGAGAGACGAUCGUGAGCGAUUGGGUUUCUGAGAGAGAGCGAUGAGGAAGGAUUCGUAGCAUUAUGGAGAGACGAUCGUGAGCGAUUGGGUUUCUGAGAGAGAGCGAUGAGGAAGGAUUCGUAGCAUGAGGGAGAUGAGGGAGUGUUACUGUUGAUUCAUUUUCUUUCUUUUAUUUUAUUUCAUUUUUUUUGAAAAAAGAAAUAACGUUUAAACUUCUUAGAUCUUCAUUUAAUAGUAUUUUCAUUUACUAGGGUAUUAAUAUAGCAUUUUAGUAUUCCCAAUCAAUCAGCAUCUAAAACCCAACAGCCAUGCGGCUGGGUUUAACUACCAGUAGACCAAUAGUUUUCUUUUUUAUUUUAGUUUUUAUUUUAAUCUUUUUUUAAUUUACCUUAAUUUAUAUAUUUAAGUUU
This 424-nucleotide long non-coding RNA is filed under the name Lathyrus oleraceus (garden pea). Its description in RNAcentral is "Pisum sativum (pea) long non-coding RNA (PSAT_LNC019395)". Lineage: Eukaryota; Viridiplantae; Streptophyta; Magnoliopsida; Fabales; Fabaceae. The record is from RNAcentral.